RNAcentral lists this long non-coding RNA (1649 nucleotides) under Anas zonorhyncha (Eastern spot-billed duck). Its description in RNAcentral is "lncRNA (ENSAZOG00000015141.1)". Lineage: Eukaryota; Metazoa; Chordata; Aves; Anseriformes; Anatidae. The record is from RNAcentral.
GCGGGAGGAAGGUGGGGAGAAGGAGCGGGCGGUGGCGGCGCUGACGCUGCAGCUGCAGAAGAUGGAGGCCUCUCGUGCUCAGGAGCCAUCGGCAGAAGAGGUGCAGGCGCUGCGCGCGGAGGUGGAGCUGCUCCACCAGACGCUGCAGGACCUCACCCANNNNNNNNNNGAGGGACAUGGAGACGGAUGGGUGGAUGGAUGGAUGGAUGGAUGGAGGAUGGAUGAAGGACAGUGGAAAGGGGGAUGGAUGGACGGGGGCUGGAUGGAUGCCUGGAGGAUGGAUGGAGGAGAAUGGCUGGAUGGACAGACAGAUGGGAGGACGGAUAGACGGAUGGACACGGGGUCAGGCGUAUGGGAGGGCGGGUGGCUGGAUGCACAGAGGAAGGAUGGAGGAGAAGGGACAGAAGGGUGAGAGGACGGAGGACAACCGCUGACCCCGUUGCUCCCCCAGGAGGCCCGGGAGGUGUCGGGGAGCCUGCGGCGGGAGCUGGGGGACAGCGAGAGCCGGCGGGCGGCCCUGGAGCAGCGGCUGGAGCAGCUCAGCGCCGAGGCUGGGGGCUGCCGGCGGGCGCAGGAUGAGGCCGUGCGCGAAGCCGCCCGCCUGCGCGCCGACAUCGAGCUCCUGCGCAGCGAGCGGAGCCGCGUGGAGCAGGCGCUGGCGGCGGAGCAGGCGCGGGCGGGGGUCCUGCAGCGCAGCGAGGCCGAGCUGCAGCGCCGCGGCCGGGGGCUGGAGGAGCAGCGGGACGAGGCCGCCCGUGCCGCCGAGGCUGCGCGCCAGCAGCUGGAGCACAGGUGGGGACCCCCCGGUGCCGUGACCCCCCCAUGGGGCUGCAGAAUAGUGCCUCACCCCUCCCGUGGGUGCUGCCCCCACCCCCGGCUGUCUCCAUCCCUCGCAGGCAGUGCUGGCGGAUGACCCUGGGUCCCCGACGGAGCCUCCGAGGCUCCCCUGCCGCAGCCUCUCGCCCGCUGCAGCUGCGGCCACGCUGGGGGCUGUGCACGGAGCCCUGCGGCGCCGGCACUUCCAGCUGCAGGAGGCCCGGGAGGUGUCGGGGAGCCUGCGGAGGGAGCUGGGGGACAGCGAGAGCCGACGGGUGGCCCUGGAGCAGCGGCUGGAGCAGCUCAGCGCCGAGGCUGGGGGCUGCCGGCGGGCGCAGGAUGAGGCCGUGCGCGAAGCCGCCCGCCUGCGCGCCGACAUCGAGCUCCUGCGCAGGUACCCCCUGCCUGUCCGUCUGUCCGUCCGUGGCCUCUGUCCCUGCACACCCUCCACCUGCCUGUCCCCACGGCGUGUCCGUCUGUCCGGCAGCGAGCGGGGCCGCGUGGAGCAGGCGCUAGCGGCGGAGCAGGCACGGGCGGGGGUCCUGCAGCGCAGCGAGGCCGAGCUGCAGCGCCGCGGCCGGGGGCUGGAGGAGCAGCGGGACGAGGCCGCCCGUGCCGCCGAGGCUGCGCGCCAGCAGCUGGAGCACAGGUGGGGACCCCCCCGGUGCUGAAACACCCCCCCAUGGGGCUGCAGAAUACUGACUCACCUCUCCCGUGGGUGCUGCUCCCCUCCAUGGGUGAUACCCCCAUGGGUCCUCCCCAUCCAACGGGUGCUGCCCUUCCCAGUUGGUGCUCUCCCCCCAGUGGGUGCCCCCCCCAAUUUGUGCCCCCCC